Molecule: long non-coding RNA, 1142 nt
Organism: Cyprinodon variegatus (sheepshead minnow)
Lineage: Eukaryota; Metazoa; Chordata; Actinopteri; Cyprinodontiformes; Cyprinodontidae
Exons: 3
Source: RefSeq, a predicted model, not a curated record
GAGGAGGGGAGGUAUGGCGGAAGGGAAAUAAAGAAUUAAAAUAAAACCUAGUCAGCUUUAAUUCCCUUCCUCUUCCAGCCACCUGAAAGUGCGCAGAGCGACCGGCUCUACUGUUAAAAGCGACAAGAAACAAACUGAUAGGAAUCGCGGACCGUAUUGAGGUCAGAAGAAAGCGUUGCCAGGGUGACACCGCGGCGGCGGGGGCGCGCCUGCCUGCGAGGCUGCGCUCGUUCGCGGAGCCGGAGCGGUCGCGGCAUCCUCAGCAGCAGCAGCAGCGGCAGCAUCCUCCUGCAACAACCGGAGCGUCUCCAGCUGAGCGUCCGCUGUGAUCAGCUCCAUCAAACCUUCAGUCGGUGCUCCUCUCUGAAGGGAAUUUACCGUGGAUUUACCGCUAAUGACUGACUAAAGGGGGAGUUAUAACCGCAGACUGCUCUGCUCAGGUGAUACUUCCUGCACAAGAGGCAGUAAUGAUAAAGAUUAUUAUAAUGGAUUUUUUUUAAGAUGCUAAAACAUGCAUCAUGCUUUCUGAUCAACGUGACAAUUUAAAAAUUUAUAUAAGGAUCUAUUGAGGAAGAAGCCAAGCCGAGUGAGGCUUGUCUGCCUCUGCUCGGAUCUGGUGUAUCUUUAUAAGGCUGUAGAGACUCUAUAAUUUCUGUUUUAACAUGGGGUCCCACCUGCAGAUGGAUUGAGAAACGACUGUCCCAAUUUUGCAUGUUUAAUUUAAUGCUUUUUUUUUUUUUAGACCGUUUUAUUUUAUUUAUUAAUUAAUUUUUUGAAAGAAGCACUUUUUUGGCUGACUUUUUUUUUUGUGGAGGAGGAGGAAGAGGAGCACUCCAUACCUGCAGCAGUGGAACUGAUAUUAACAGAUGGCUUCCUGCACGUCCCUCUCAAACCGCCUAUCUUCUUAAGGAAGAAAGGUCCAGCAGAACCAGGAUCAGUGUGAGCGGCUAUCUGCUUGAAGCUAACUGGGGUUCGAGGAGACAGAAGUAGACAUACAGAAAGAAGCAGAGACACAAAAGGUUCCCACAGCGACUGGAAAACCCAAGAAAGCAAAUAUCUGGAGGUCAACCCAUCCAAGGAUAGCAGGGCAAGCCUGAACACAGCAAAAAGGUUAGACCUUUGUUUUUCUUCCUCUUUUCCAG